GACGAACGCUGGCGGCGUGCUUAACACAUGCAAGUCGAACGAUGAAGCCAGCUUGCUGGUGGAUUAGUGGCGAACGGGUGAGUAACACGUGGGUGAUCUGCCCCAAACUUUGGGAUAAGCCUGGGAAACUGGGCCUAUUACCGAAUAUGACCGAUACUCGCAUGGGUGUUGGUGGAAAGCUCCGGCGGUUUGGGAUGGGCCCGCGGCCUAUCAGCUUGUUGGUGGGGUAAUGGCCUACCAAGGCGACGACGGGUAGCCGGCCUGAGAGGGCGACCGGCCACACUGGGACUGAGACACGGCCCAGACUCCUACGGGAGGCAGCAGUGGGGAAUAUUGCACAAUGGGCGCAAGCCUGAUGCAGCGACGCCGCGUGAGGGAUGACGGCCUUCGGGUUGUAAACCUCUUUCACCAGGGACGAAGCGAAAGUGACGGUACCUGGAGAAGAAGCACCGGCCAACUACGUG
This 464-nucleotide ribosomal RNA is filed under the name uncultured bacterium. RNAcentral describes it as "partial 16S ribosomal RNA". It matches the Rfam family "Bacterial small subunit ribosomal RNA", at positions 28 to 507 of the family's 1533-position model. The record is from RNAcentral.